UGCCAGCAGCCGCGGUAAUACGGGGGGUGCAAGCGUUAAUCGGAAUUACUGGGCGUAAGAGCGCGCGUAGGCGGUUUGAUCAGUCGGAUGUGAAAGCCCUGGGCUCAACCUGGGAAUGGCAUUCGAUACUGUCAGGCUAGAAUGUGGAAGAGGGAAGUGGAAUUUCCGGUGUAGCGGUGAAAUGCGUAGAUAUCGGAAGGAACACCAGUGGCGAAGGCGGCUCACUGGGCCGAUACUGACGCUGAGGAGCGAAAGCGUGGGGAGCAAACAGGAUUAGAUA
Molecule: ribosomal RNA, 280 nt
Filed under: uncultured bacterium
Lineage: Bacteria
Description: partial 16S ribosomal RNA
Rfam family: Bacterial small subunit ribosomal RNA
Source: RNAcentral